GACGAACGCUGGCGGCGUGCUUAACACAUGCAAGUCGAACGAAGAGCGACGGAAGCUUGCUUCUAUCAAUCUUAGUGGCGAACGGGUGAGUAACGCGUAAUCAACCUGCCCUUCAGAGGGGGACAACAGUUGGAAACGACUGCUAAUACCGCAUACGAUCUAAUCUCGGCAUCGAGGAUAGAUGAAAGGUGGCCUCUACAUGUAAGCUAUCACUGAAGGAGGGGAUUGCGUCUGAUUAGCUAGUUGGAGGGGUAACGGCCCACCAAGGCGAUGAUCAGUAGCCGGUCUGAGAGGAUGAACGGCCACAUUGGGACUGAGACACGGCCCAGACUCCUACGGGAGGCAGCAGUGGGGAAUCUUCCGCAAUGGACGAAAGUCUGACGGAGCAACGCCGCGUGAGUGAUGACGGCCUUCGGGUUGUAAAGCUCUGUUAAUCGGGACGAAAGGCCUUCUUGCGAAUAGUGAGAAGGAUUGACGGUACCG
Molecule: ribosomal RNA, 483 nt
Filed under: Veillonella parvula
Lineage: Bacteria; Bacillati; Bacillota; Negativicutes; Veillonellales; Veillonellaceae
Description: bacterial SSU rRNA
Rfam family: Bacterial small subunit ribosomal RNA
Source: RNAcentral